CUUGGUCAUUUAGAGGAGUAAAAGUCGUAACAAGGUUUCCGUAGGUGAACCUGCGGAAGGAUCAUUUUGAAUUACAGUUGGACUGAUGCUGGCUUUUGCAAGUGCUUGUCCUUCUUCUUUCAUUUUUUUCUCUUGUGCACCUUUUGUAGUCUUGGAUUGAAUGAGAACCCCCUUCGCAGCAAUGCGGUUUUGGGGGGUUGACGCUGCUUGCCUGUCUCCCCCUGCUUCGUUCUCCAGGACUAUGUUUUCAUACACCAUAAUAAGUUACAGAAUGUCUUUUUGAAUGAUUGCGCUAGUCGCAGUCUUUUAAACUUAAUACAACUUUCAGCAACGGAUCUCUUGGCUCUCCCAUCGAUGAAGACGCAGCGAAAUGCGAUAAGUAAUGUGAAUUGCAGAAUUCAGUGAAUCACGAAUCUUUGAACGCACCUUGCGCCCUUUGGUAUUCCGAAGGGCAUGCCGUUUGAGUGUCAUUAAAUUCUCAACCUUGCUUGCUUUUACUAGCUUGAGGAGGCUUGGAUGUGGGGGUUGCUGGCUUCCUUCAGUGGAUGGUCUGCUCUCUUAAAUGCAUUAGCGGAAUCUCUUGUGGACCGUCACUUGGUGUGAUAUUAUCUAUGCCACUUGACCUUGAAGCAAAUUAAUGGGAAUCAGCUCAUACCGUCCUUCAGUUGGACAACUCUUUGACAUUUUGACCUCAAAUCAGGUAGACUACCCGCUGAACUUAAGCAUAUCAAUAAGCGGAGGAA
RNAcentral lists this ribosomal RNA (743 nucleotides) under uncultured fungus. RNAcentral's name for it is "eukaryotic LSU rRNA". The stretch from base 320 to 470 matches the Rfam family "5.8S ribosomal RNA". The record is from RNAcentral. Lineage: Eukaryota; Fungi.